AGCGGGAAUAGCUCAGUUGGUAGAGCAUAACCUUGCCAAGGUUAGGGUCGCGAGUUCGAGUCUCGUUUCCCGCUCCAG
Molecule: transfer RNA, 78 nt
Filed under: Cellvibrio japonicus Ueda107
Lineage: Bacteria; Pseudomonadati; Pseudomonadota; Gammaproteobacteria; Cellvibrionales; Cellvibrionaceae
Description: tRNA-Gly
Rfam family: tRNA
About the family: Transfer RNA (tRNA) molecules are approximately 80 nucleotides in length.
Source: RNAcentral